RNAcentral lists this transfer RNA (67 nucleotides) under pig gut metagenome. It matches the Rfam family "tRNA". Rfam says of the family: Transfer RNA (tRNA) molecules are approximately 80 nucleotides in length. Their secondary structure includes four short double-helical elements and three loops (D, anti-codon, and T loops). The record is from RNAcentral.
AUAUUAGUUCAGUUGGUAGAACGAUAGACUGUUAAUCUAUGUGUCGUAGGUUCGAAUCCUGCAUAUC